CUCGGAGCCAAGCCAAUUACCGUUCCAACACUCACACCUGCUACUCAAGCUAGAGGAUACCUGGGCAAAGGGCUGUAAACCCAGAUUGAUUUCCUGCUCUGGUUCUUGUUGAAGAAUAAAGAUACCAUGAUUUAGAGGAUCCUUAUUAUAUACGAGAUUCAAUUAGACUUAACCGGAGUUUCAAUUGUCACUAAUGCGCGCUCAGAUCCAGCUCCUGUUCUUGUUAGAGUGGAACAGUAGUUCUCAAGUCAGUAGUUUAGUAGUCCAGUGCCCAAACCCAUGUUUUGGUUCACUUUAGAAUUAGCAGCUGACCUCUUUGACUUUAACCAACACCCAGACCGGACCGGACUGAUUGAACUCCUUUUCAGAUACCCGACCUAAACU
RNAcentral lists this long non-coding RNA (384 nucleotides) under Musa acuminata (dwarf banana). Its description in RNAcentral is "long non-coding RNA (MACU_LNC009129)". The record is from RNAcentral. Lineage: Eukaryota; Viridiplantae; Streptophyta; Magnoliopsida; Zingiberales; Musaceae.